AAUAGAUACCCGGGUAGUCCACGCCGUAAACGAUGAGUGCUAAGUGUUAGAGGGUUUCCGCCCUUUAGUGCUGCAGCUAACGCAUUAAGCACUCCGCCUGGGGAGUACGGCCGCAAGGCUGAAACUCAAAGGAAUUGACGGGGGGCCCGCACAAGCGGUGGAGCAUGUGGUUUAAUUCGAAGCAACGCGAAGAACCUUACCAGGUCUUGACAUCCUCUGACCUCCCUGGAGACAGGGCCUUCCCCCUUCGGGGGACAGAGUGACAGGUGGUGCAUGGUUGUCGUCAGCUCGUGUCGUGAGAUGUUGGGUUAAGUCCCGCAACGAGCGCAACCCUUGACCUUAGUUGCCAGCAUUCAGUUGGGCACUCUAAGGUGACUGCCGGUGACAAACCGGAGGAAGGUGGGGAUGACGUCAAAUCAUCAUGCCCCUUAUGACCUGAGCUACACACGUGCUACAAUGGAUGGUACAAAGGGCUGCAAGACCGCGAGGUUAAGCCAAUCCCAAAAAACCAUUCCCAGUUCGGAUUGCAGGCUGCAACCCCG
This 542-nucleotide ribosomal RNA is filed under the name uncultured bacterium. Its description in RNAcentral is "bacterial SSU rRNA". It matches the Rfam family "Bacterial small subunit ribosomal RNA", at positions 777 to 1314 of the family's 1533-position model. The record is from RNAcentral.